AAUGGGGUUGAUUCAUGUAAAAAAAGAGAAAAUAAUAGGGUUCAUGAAACAUGGCAUCUAGAUCUGAUCAAGUUGGAAUGUGAAAAAUGGAAGGAAUGAAGAUCAUAACAAUGAAACAUAAUUCAACUAGAUUCAAAAAGGUAGGAAAAUGA
This is a long non-coding RNA of Hibiscus syriacus, 152 nucleotides long. RefSeq lists it as uncharacterized. NCBI's taxonomy places the organism in Eukaryota, Viridiplantae, Streptophyta, Magnoliopsida, Malvales, Malvaceae. The record is from RefSeq and is a predicted model, not a curated record. The transcript has 4 exons.